This 2924-nucleotide ribosomal RNA is filed under the name Escherichia coli. RNAcentral's name for it is "partial 23S ribosomal RNA". It matches the Rfam family "Bacterial large subunit ribosomal RNA". The record is from RNAcentral. Lineage: Bacteria; Pseudomonadati; Pseudomonadota; Gammaproteobacteria; Enterobacterales; Enterobacteriaceae.
GGGUUGUGAGGUUAAGCGACUAAGCGUACACGGUGGAUGCCCUGGCAGUCAGAGGCGAUGAAGGACGUGCUAAUCUGCGAUAAGCGUCGGUAAGGUGAUAUGAACCGUUAUAACCGGCGAUUUCCGAAUGGGGAAACCCAGUGUGAUUCGUCACACUAUCAUUAACUGAAUCCAUAGGUUAAUGAGGCGAACCGGGGGAACUGAAACAUCUAAGUACCCCGAGGAAAAGAAAUCAACCGAGAUUCCCCCAGUAGCGGCGAGCGAACGGGGAGCAGCCCAGAGCCUGAAUCAGUGUGUGUGUUAGUGGAAGCGUCUGGAAAGGCGUGCGAUACAGGGUGACAGCCCCGUACACAAAAAUGCACAUACUGUGAGCUCGAUGAGUAGGGCGGGACACGUGGUAUCCUGUCUGAAUAUGGGGGGACCAUCCUCCAAGGCUAAAUACUCCUGACUGACCGAUAGUGAACCAGUACCGUGAGGGAAAGGCGAAAAGAACCCCGGCGAGGGGAGUGAAAAAGAACCUGAAACCGUGUACGUACAAGCAGUGGGAGCACGCUUAGGCGUGUGACUGCGUACCUUUUGUAUAAUGGGUCAGCGACUUAUAUUCUGUAGCAAGGUUAACCGAAUAGGGGAGCCGAAGGGAAACCGAGUCUUAACUGGGCGUUAAGUUGCAGGGUAUAGACCCGAAACCCGGUGAUCUAGCCAUGGGCAGGUUGAAGGUUGGGUAACACUAACUGGAGGACCGAACCGACUAAUGUUGAAAAAUUAGCGGAUGACUUGUGGCUGGGGGUGAAAGGCCAAUCAAACCGGGAGAUAGCUGGUUCUCCCCGAAAGCUAUUUAGGUAGCGCCUCGUGAAUUCAUCUCCGGGGGUAGAGCACUGUUUCGGCAAGGGGGUCAUCCCGACUUACCAACCCGAUGCAAACUGCGAAUACCGGAGAAUGUUAUCACGGGAGACACACGGCGGGUGCUAACGUCCGUCGUGAAGAGGGAAACAACCCAGACCGCCAGCUAAGGUCCCAAAGUCAUGGUUAAGUGGGAAACGAUGUGGGAAGGCCCAGACAGCCAGGAUGUUGGCUUAGAAGCAGCCAUCAUUUAAAGAAAGCGUAAUAGCUCACUGGUCGAGUCGGCCUGCGCGGAAGAUGUAACGGGGCUAAACCAUGCACCGAAGCUGCGGCAGCGACACUAUGUGUUGUUGGGUAGGGGAGCGUUCUGUAAGCCUGUGAAGGUGUACUGUGAGGUAUGCUGGAGGUAUCAGAAGUGCGAAUGCUGACAUAAGUAACGAUAAAGCGGGUGAAAAGCCCGCUCGCCGGAAGACCAAGGGUUCCUGUCCAACGUUAAUCGGGGCAGGGUGAGUCGACCCCUAAGGCGAGGCCGAAAGGCGUAGUCGAUGGGAAACAGGUUAAUAUUCCUGUACUUGGUGUUACUGCGAAGGGGGGACGGAGAAGGCUAUGUUGGCCGGGCGACGGUUGUCCCGGUUUAAGCGUGUAGGCUGGUUUUCCAGGCAAAUCCGGAAAAUCAAGGCUGAGGCGUGAUGACGAGGCACUACGGUGCUGAAGCAACAAAUGCCCUGCUUCCAGGAAAAGCCUCUAAGCAUCAGGUAACAUCAAAUCGUACCCCAAACCGACACAGGUGGUCAGGUAGAGAAUACCAAGGCGCUUGAGAGAACUCGGGUGAAGGAACUAGGCAAAAUGGUGCCGUAACUUCGGGAGAAGGCACGCUGAUAUGUAGGUGAAGUCCCUCGCGGAUGGAGCUGAAAUCAGUCGAAGAUACCAGCUGGCUGCAACUGUUUAUUAAAAACACAGCACUGUGCAAACACGAAAGUGGACGUAUACGGUGUGACGCCUGCCCGGUGCCGGAAGGUUAAUUGAUGGGGUCAGCGCAAGCGAAGCUCUUGAUCGAAGCCCCGGUAAACGGCGGCCGUAACUAUAACGGUCCUAAGGUAGCGAAAUUCCUUGUCGGGUAAGUUCCGACCUGCACGAAUGGCGUAAUGAUGGCCAGGCUGUCUCCACCCGAGACUCAGUGAAAUUGAACUCGCUGUGAAGAUGCAGUGUACCCGCGGCAAGACGGAAAGACCCCGUGAACCUUUACUAUAGCUUGACACUGAACAUUGAGCCUUGAUGUGUAGGAUAGGUGGGAGGCUUUGAAGUGUGGACGCCAGUCUGCAUGGAGCCGACCUUGAAAUACCACCCUUUAAUGUUUGAUGUUCUAACGUUGACCCGUAAUCCGGGUUGCGGACAGUGUCUGGUGGGUAGUUUGACUGGGGCGGUCUCCUCCUAAAGAGUAACGGAGGAGCACGAAGGUUGGCUAAUCCUGGUCGGACAUCAGGAGGUUAGUGCAAUGGCAUAAGCCAGCUUGACUGCGAGCGUGACGGCGCGAGCAGGUGCGAAAGCAGGUCAUAGUGAUCCGGUGGUUCUGAAUGGAAGGGCCAUCGCUCAACGGAUAAAAGGUACUCCGGGGAUAACAGGCUGAUACCGCCCAAGAGUUCAUAUCGACGGCGGUGUUUGGCACCUCGAUGUCGGCUCAUCACAUCCUGGGGCUGAAGUAGGUCCCAAGGGUAUGGCUGUUCGCCAUUUAAAGUGGUACGCGAGCUGGGUUUAGAACGUCGUGAGACAGUUCGGUCCCUAUCUGCCGUGGGCGCUGGAGAACUGAGGGGGGCUGCUCCUAGUACGAGAGGACCGGAGUGGACGCAUCACUGGUGUUCGGGUUGUCAUGCCAAUGGCACUGCCCGGUAGCUAAAUGCGGAAGAGAUAAGUGCUGAAAGCAUCUAAGCACGAAACUUGCCCCGAGAUGAGUUCUCCCUGACUCCUUGAGAGUCCUGAAGGAACGUUGAAGACGACGACGUUGAUAGGCCGGGUGUGUAAGCGCAGCGAUGCGUUGAGCUAACCGGUACUAAUGAACCGUGAGGCUUAACCUUACAACGCCGAAG